RNAcentral lists this ribosomal RNA (559 nucleotides) under uncultured bacterium. RNAcentral describes it as "bacterial SSU rRNA". It matches the Rfam family "Bacterial small subunit ribosomal RNA", at positions 28 to 545 of the family's 1533-position model. The record is from RNAcentral.
GAUGAACGCUGGCGGCAUGCCUAAGACAUGCAAGUCGAACGAGGUGUACCUUUGAAGUUGGAGUACUUGUACAAAGAUGGAAAAGGAUUCGCACCUAGUGGCAGACGGGUGAGUAACACGUGGGUAACCUACCUCAUAGACUGGGAUAACUAUUGGAAACGAUAGCUAAUACCGGAUGAAACUUCUUGCAAAAGUGAGAAAGUUAAAAGGAGCUUCGGCUUCACUAAGAGAUGGGCUUGCGGUGUAUUAGCUAGUUGGUGAGGUAAUGGCUCACCAAGGCAACGAUGCAUAUCCGAGCUGAGAGGCUGAUCGGACACACUGGGACUGAGACACGGCCCAGACUCCUACGGGAGACAGCAGUUAGGAAUAUUCGUCAAUGGGGGAAACCCUGAACGAGCAAUGCCGCGUGAGUGAUGAAGGUCUUACAGAUUGUAAAACUCUGUUGUAAAGGAAGAAACCUUACUAUAGGAAAUGAUGGUAAGCUGACGGUACUUUACCAGAAAGCCCCGGCUAACUACGUGCCAGCAGCCGCGGUAAUACGUAGGGGGCGAGCGUUAUC